AAGAUGUUUAGCAGUGAAACAGAAGGAGUGAACCAAAUGCACCUGUGGCUUCUGGCAGGUAUAAUGAAAACCUGUAGCAGUAAACUUUCAAAACUGUUUGGAAACCAGAACUUUGCCACCUUACAGGUUUGAAGUCAACACAGUCAGAGCCCUUCCCACAGGAUUUCUGCCUCACCUGGAGAGCAGCCACUGCAACACAGGCUGGAGCUGGUUUUUCUCAUUGAUGCAGCCAAAAGGAGGAGAAGGACUCUGGUCUACAUAAGUAUGGUGGGAUGGAUCUGCCUGGGUUAAGUGACAGCAUAAAAGCAUUCCAACUGAGCAGCGGAAAUCCUAAUUCUUCCUAUGAACUGGAGUAACAAGGUGACAGGAGAUCAUCCACCACUACUGGAAACUGGGAAAAAACAGGUGAUUCUGGGAAUCACAGGUUGUCAUUGUCCCUGGCACUAAGAGCAGAAAGGCAAAUAUGGUGCCAGUGACUCAGACCUGCAUUGCUGGUACCUCACUGGGGAGAUGCAGUGCAGGAAGGGACCUGCCAUCCUCAGCCCCUGCUUGGUACCUGUAAGCACUGAGUUUUCUGUCACCCUGCCCUUUUCCCUGUGGGUUGCCUGGUCCUUCUCUCCUAGCAAACACAGAGAAUCAACAUCGUUGAUUCAGCUGGACUUUGAAUUCUGGGUUACAGGGCCAUAUUCUUGUCUUUUGUGUUACAAUGUUGUCCCUGAAGAAAUUCGAUUGCAUUUUACUUUGGACUCUGUGAAACUGACAACUGCUGAUGCUCCAGCAUGAAGAUCAAGGUACCAACGAUCCUCAGAAGAAGACACAUUUCCCAGGGCACUGGAGAUUACACAUCUAGCAGAACUGAAAUCAAAGGCAUGGUAAAUGAUAAUAUCUAGAAUCUUUCUCAGAUCCUGCAAAACACAAUGGAACCAAUCAACAAAGGGAGACUGGAUUUUUUCUUUUCCUUUUGCUUCAUUUCAGUGCAUAAAUGGAAUUCUAGUUCUGUGUUUUUGCUCAAAAUAUGGAAAAGCCAAUAAAAUCUUCUAGAAAUAUUAUUUUUUCA
This 1057-nucleotide long non-coding RNA is filed under the name Junco hyemalis (dark-eyed junco). RNAcentral's name for it is "lncRNA (ENSJHYG00000007801.1)". Lineage: Eukaryota; Metazoa; Chordata; Aves; Passeriformes; Passerellidae. The record is from RNAcentral.